CGCGAGGAUAUCGUCGGCGAAGGCCAAUAGUCGGUUAUUCCCGCAAUGGACGAUGUGUACAGUGUCGGAUAUGAGUCUAAGUAAGAUUUUUCCUCGGCACGCCACCACAUAUCGUUCCAUCGGCCCAUCAACCCCUUGAGGAACGUAGGAAGAAGGAAAUACCGGAGGUGGAGUAAAAGUUG
Molecule: long non-coding RNA, 182 nt
Organism: Fopius arisanus
Lineage: Eukaryota; Metazoa; Arthropoda; Insecta; Hymenoptera; Braconidae
Exons: 2
Source: RefSeq, a predicted model, not a curated record